GUAUAGGGAAGAAGAUUUACACUUGAUGAAAAAAUUUUAGCAUUGUUGCUGUAUAAACAAUCUGGAUCUUGUUAUAAAUUAUUAUCAAAAUUAUUUGUUUUACCAAGUGCUACAACUCUAAAAUGUUUGCUACGAACAAUUUCUUUACAAUCAGAAAUUAAUAAAUUUAUUUUUGAGCAUCUUUGGCAACAUAUAGCACAAAUAAAAAAUGAAACAGACAAUUAUGAAUAUUUAUGUGGGACGAGAUGUCAUUAGAAGCCAAUUUGCAAUAUGACCAAUUGAAUAAUUUGUUUUGAAGAUUGGGGACAUAGACGUACAUCACUAAUAGCCGAUCAUGUUUUGGUUUUUAUGGUAAAAGGAAUUUUGAAAGGAUGGAAAAUUCUAUUAUCUUACAACUUCUGCAAAAGUCAAACGAAAUCUGCACAUUUAAUUAGAUGCAUAAAAGAAAUUAUAAAAGAAUUAUCUGAAGCUGGUUUGACAAUAAUUGCAACUGUAUGCGACCAAAAGAAACCAAAUAUUAAAUCUAUUAAGAAACUUCUUGAGGAUUCUAGAAGUAAAUGUAUACAAAAAGGUCAAGAAUAUCGAAUAAAGGAACGACAGUUUGCAUUAUGGGACAUCAUUGAUCAGGCAUAUAAAAUGGAUAUUUACACAAAUACAUUGAAUCGUCAAUUGCCAAAAUUAACCGAUGAACAUGUUAUUAGAUCAAAAAUAAAUAGAUGAAAGUUAAAUGUGCUGCUCAAAUUUUUAGUGCAAGAUUAUCAGCAUAUAUUGAAUACAACAGCAAAAUCAAAGAAGGAUUUGUUGAGCACAGAUUGGUCUACUACAAAUACCAAAGACAGGAUAUGACACAGCAAUAGUAUUAGAUUUUUUCAACAAAGUUUUUGAUUCCGUGAACGCACAUACUUUGCAUCCAGAGACUCCUUUUAUACGUGUUGCGGUAACAAAAAAUAGCAAACACCAUGAUUUUUGGCCACCUGCUACUAAAUUAUUGUCCGAAAUGCGAUAUGUAGAUCCGAAAACUAAACAACCAGUUAAGUGCAUACCGUCAUUAAAAAAUUGGAUUUUUACUCUACGUGGAUUUCAGGACAUAUGGAAAAUAGUUGAUAAUGCAGGUAUACAAUUUUUAAAGACAAGAAAUAUUAAUCAAGAUCAAACUAGAAAAUUUUUUUGGUAUGAUUUGUAGUCACGGACGUAGAAAUAUUAAUCCUUCGUGUAGCCUAUUUUGUGGAUCAUAUAAAACAUUAAUAAUUAAUAAUUUAACAUCAAAACGGUCUAUGGGCUCUAACUGCGAAAAUAAAAAUGACGGUAAUUUAUUAUUUAAUUUAAAACAAUUUGUGAAAAAUGUUUUUCAUGUAAAUAAUGCAUUAGAACAAAUAGUUGAAGAAGACUUUGUAUCAUUCCCAAAUAACAUAAUAAUAUAUAACAUUUCAUCACAUAAAAAUAAUAGUCAAAUGUAUGUUUCUUGUUGGAUUGCAAAAAAGAUUUUAUCUUUGAAACAAUUUAAAAAUUGUUUAGACUGUAAACAGAGUUUUCUAACAACAAAUAUAACAUCUGAAGAAUAUGUGCAACUAGUUCAUAGAGAAUAUGUACGAAAGAAACCUUCUUUAACUUAUACAUCAAUGACUUUUUUAA
This is a long non-coding RNA of Solenopsis invicta (red fire ant), 1632 nucleotides long. RefSeq lists it as uncharacterized. The transcript has 3 exons. The record is from RefSeq and is a predicted model, not a curated record. NCBI's taxonomy places the organism in Eukaryota, Metazoa, Arthropoda, Insecta, Hymenoptera, Formicidae.